UCAAAGUAUGCCAAACGAUGUUUCGUGUUCCGCAUAAUGGAUGUAUCUGAUAUACUAUGGAGAACAGGCCGAUUCUCAGGAAACUUGUUAAACCGAGUGUUAAAUUACUAUGUGAAUAGAUGGCUUCGAAAUCUAAUCUGUAUUACAGUGGCGCGUUCGAAAGUAAACGUGAAAUGUGAAAAUCCACGGAAAAAUGCGAACUACUGAAUAGGUAUUAGGUUAUCAAAGGCACCGAUGACACGGAUGUAUGUUCGAUAAAUAAAGUCGCACAAAUUCUACUUCUAGCCAAUUAAAAUUGUAAUUUUGUUCUAGUACUAAUGUGCAUAACAAUUCGAAGAUUGUAAAGAUGCAAAAUUAUGUUCCUUAAGUGUAGAACAUAAAUGCUUAAAAAAUGAUUUUAAAUGUUCCCGCUUCGAUUGUUCCGGUUUGCACAUUCCUGUUUCGCGUUCCACGUGUUCCGGUAGUUUUCGAAAAGCGUGGAAGUGUUAACCAGUGCUCGUCGUUAUUAACUAUUUAUUCGUGAAUAGACGCCGUGUUUGCAGGUUCUUGCUAUUAUCACCGUGACGAGUGUCGAUCGAUCAACGUCGCUAAGGAAGGGCUGGACAAUCUAUAUUGAUAGAAGUUGACCAGCCUAGAUGACAGCACCGACGUAGAUGCAGAACUAUG
Non-coding RNA from Osmia lignaria (orchard mason bee), 666 nucleotides. The record is from RefSeq and is a predicted model, not a curated record. Lineage: Eukaryota; Metazoa; Arthropoda; Insecta; Hymenoptera; Megachilidae.